GCCGCGCGGGGGGCGGGCGGCGCGGAGUAGGUGGCGGCGGCCAUGGCCGAGGCGUCGCCGCAUCCCGGACGGUACUUCUGCCACUGCUGCUCCGUGGAGAUCGUCCCGCGCCUGCCGGAUUAUAUCUGUCCAAGAUGCGAGUCUGGUUUUAUCGAGGAGCUUCCGGAAGAGACCAGGUAAUGCAGCCCCCUGUUGAAGAGGCUGGAAGAGCCAGCCGGGCCUCAGCUGUUGUAGGGGUGUGGGCUGUGCUGGCGUCCGCCCCGCCGAGUGUGGGGCCGUCAGGCCCUGGUGUCUGUGGCUCCGGGAGCACUUUUCUCUGUGCAGACAGCAGCGUGCCGUUCUCUUCUGUGAUGGCCGGGCCGGGGCCAGAGGGGAGUGCCGGCAACCUGUGCAGCCGCUCACCUCCCUCAGCCUCGGCGGCUAAUCUGGUGACCCAGGCCCUCCGGGGAAGGGGCCACGGGGGCCCUACCCACAUUCUCACGCUUAGGAGGCUGUUGGGGUCUGCACCGGUUUAUCGAGAAACCCGUGGUUUACUGGCGAGGGAAGCAGCAGCGGGUUACGGCACCAAAUGCUGGGGCGGUGGCGGGUGGGAAGCAGUGCCAAGGACAAUUCCUGCUCUCCCAACAUAGGCUUUUGAGGGGAGG
This 644-nucleotide long non-coding RNA is filed under the name Homo sapiens (human). RNAcentral describes it as "non-protein coding lnc-POLRMT-4:1". Lineage: Eukaryota; Metazoa; Chordata; Mammalia; Primates; Hominidae. The record is from RNAcentral.